This is a long non-coding RNA of Lolium perenne, 928 nucleotides long. RefSeq lists it as uncharacterized. Lineage: Eukaryota; Viridiplantae; Streptophyta; Magnoliopsida; Poales; Poaceae. The record is from RefSeq and is a predicted model, not a curated record.
UAUCUCUAAAUAGAAGCACCCCACUAGAAGGAUUUUUCUCUCCAUGCAGCUAUGCCACAUCACUUGCCUAUUUGUCUCAACAUGAAACUGUCCACGUCAUCGAUAAAGCCCAGCUCAUCGACCGGUUCAUGUGGUUCUUCUUCCAGCGCCUCAUUUGCUUGGUGUGUCGUCGUCUCCAUUGAUUAACACUGUUCAUCUUCUCUUCUUCCACUAACUGAAGUAAUUAAAAGGCACUGAUGGAUUCACCUUCCUCUUCUCCUACUUUAAAAAGGAUGCCGGGAUUGCAGAUUGUUCAUCUGCCCCGAAGCUAGGCAUCAAUCGAUCCAGGGAGCAACUCUGCUGAGCAUUAGCGCAACUGCACAAGGCAUCCCGUCACACGUUGGGCAUCCUCCACCGGUAGUGUGCGUGACCACUGUAUACAAUUUUUGCUUCUAUCUACAUCCAUCCCAUUCGGUCUAUAUUUGAGCAGGUUUUGUCCUGCAUGAGAUCUCUGUCCUCCGCAGGAAUCAAGACCCGGCGAGGCAGGCGCUGACUCAGAUGAGGCGGUCACUCACCAAGAUAACCCAUACUUCAUAUUCCUCUUUUCCUCUUCCUCACUUUUCUGUCGUUUAUCUCUUGCACUACAGGUAUUCGAUGAUUUGUUCGUCAUGCCGAUCUGUUGACUUCAUUGAACAUAUAGCCUCAUAAAAAACCUGAACGGCCAAGAAUGCAAAUGUAUCAUGGUCAGAUGGUACCAUAUGUUGUCUCAAAAGAUGUCAAUCCACAAGAGCGAUGCAUUGUAUCAGUCUAUCAGACAUGAAAGAAAAGGGACCAGUUCAUGUUCCAUGCCCUUCAGGUAAUAUGGAAAAAUAUAUGGUUCCAUAGUUCUUCCGAAAAAGCCUUGUGAGGGUUAUAGCUCAUGUGUUUGAAGUAAUGUACCGCCAGGUCA